Molecule: ribosomal RNA, 460 nt
Filed under: uncultured bacterium
Lineage: Bacteria
Description: partial 16S ribosomal RNA
Rfam family: Bacterial small subunit ribosomal RNA
Source: RNAcentral
CCUACGGGAGGCAGCAGUGAGGAAUAUUGGUCAAUGGACGCAAGUCUGAACCAGCUAUUCCGCGUGCAGGAAGACGGCCCUAUGAGUUGUAAACUGCUUUUGUACGAGGGUAAACUCAGAUACGCGUAUCUGUCUGAAAGUAUCGUACGAAUAAGGAUCGGCUAACUCCGUUCCAGCAGCCGCGGUAAUACGGAGGAUUCAAUCGUUAUCCGGAUUUAUUGGGUUUAAAGGGUGCGUAGGCGGUCGGAUAAGUUGGAGGUGAAAUCCCGGGGCUCAACUUCGGAAUUGCAUAUGAUACUGUUAGGCUAGAGAGUGGUUGCGGGAGGCGGAAUGCAUGGUGUAGCGGUGAAAUGCUUAGAGAUCAUACAGAACACCGAUUGCGAAGGCAGCUUACCAAGCUGCAUCUGACGUUGAGGCACGAAAGCGUGGGGAGCAAACAGGAUUAGAUACCCUUGUAGUC